UACGGAGGGUGCAAACGUUGCUCGGAAUCAUUGGGCGUAAAGCGCACGUAGGCGGUCCAGCAAGUCGGGUGUGAAAGCCCUCGGCUUAACCGAGGAAGUGCAUUCGAAACUACUGGACUUGAAUACUGGAGAGGAUCGCGGAAUUCCCGGUGUAGAGGUGAAAUUCGUAGAUAUCGGGAGGAACACCAGUGGCGAAGGCGGCGACCUGGGCCAAUAUUGACGCUAAGAUGCGAAAAGCGUGGGGAGCAAACAGG
RNAcentral lists this ribosomal RNA (254 nucleotides) under uncultured bacterium. Its description in RNAcentral is "partial 16S ribosomal RNA". It matches the Rfam family "Bacterial small subunit ribosomal RNA", at positions 524 to 776 of the family's 1533-position model. The record is from RNAcentral.